UAAUGGGUCAGCGACUUAUAUUCUGUAGCAAGGUUAACCGAAUAGGGGAGCCGGAGGGAAACCGAGUCUUAAUUGGGCGUUAAGUUGCAGGGUAUAGACCCGAAACCCGGUGAUCUAGCCAUGGGCAGGUUGAAGGUUGGGUAACACUAACUGGAGGACCGAACCGACUAAUGUUGAAAAAUUAGCGGAUGACCUGUGGCUGGGGGUGAAAGGCCAAUCAAACCGGGAGAUAGCUGGUUCUCCCCGAAAGCUAUUUAGGUAGCGCCUCGUGAAUUCAUCUCCGGGGGUAGAGCACUGUUUCGGCUAGGGGGCCAUCCCGGCUUACCAACCCGAUGCAAACUGCGAAUACCGGAGAAUGUUAUCACGGGAGACACACGGCGGGUGCUAACGUCCGUCGUGAAGAGGGAAACAACCCAGACCGCCAGCUAAGGUCCCAAAGUCAUGGUUAAGUGGGAAACGAUGUGGGAAGGCCCAGACAGCCAGGAUGUUGGCUUAGAAGCAGCCAUCAUUUAAAGAAAGCGUAAUAGCUCACUGGUCGAGUCGGCCUGCGCG
RNAcentral lists this ribosomal RNA (552 nucleotides) under Salmonella enterica. RNAcentral's name for it is "partial 23S ribosomal RNA". It matches the Rfam family "Bacterial large subunit ribosomal RNA", at positions 613 to 1165 of the family's 2925-position model. The record is from RNAcentral. Lineage: Bacteria; Pseudomonadati; Pseudomonadota; Gammaproteobacteria; Enterobacterales; Enterobacteriaceae.